AAAGGCUUAAUGUCGAGCUAGCCUGAGUUGGCCUAUAUUUUAUAUAGUGUCAUGGUUAUGUGGUGAGCCUGAGUAUAGUUUUACACAUCAGCCCAGUCUAGUCUGUAGAGUUACUGAUACGCAGUCGCUUCAGAACAGAGAGGGUGAGAUAGGGAAAAGCAGUAGCAGCACAACGUUACAGAGAACAGAUGAGGUGAAGCUGCUUAAAGACAGGGAGGGUGAGACAGGGAGAAGUAGCUCAGAGCUGCAGGUAUGUGCUGUGUAAAGGG
Cyprinus carpio carpio is the source of this 269-nucleotide long non-coding RNA. NCBI's taxonomy places the organism in Eukaryota, Metazoa, Chordata, Actinopteri, Cypriniformes, Cyprinidae. The record is from Ensembl.